RNAcentral lists this long non-coding RNA (1131 nucleotides) under Mus caroli (Ryukyu mouse). Its description in RNAcentral is "lncRNA (MGP_CAROLIEiJ_G0004191.1)". Lineage: Eukaryota; Metazoa; Chordata; Mammalia; Rodentia; Muridae. The record is from RNAcentral.
AGGUUAGACUGAGAGUCAGAACUUCAGGUUACAAGCAGGAUGGAUGGACUAAGUAUUUACAAGAAGCAGAAUUUGUGCCCUGAAAGAUCUAGGCAAGCAUUUGUAUCCCUCAAGUGCACUAGUGUUGCAGGUCUGUGGUCCAAGGUGGUGGAGCUGCGGACUGAGGAGAUAAACCCUUCAUUUCGAGUGCCCACUGGGCUGUCGUCCUCCUUCACUGCUUUCAGGAUCACAGCACUGACUGAAUCGUUCACGGGGACCGUCACUAGGGGGAAAGGGUAUGAGGAAGUAGUUAGCGUGAGCCAAGUGAAACCAAGGAGGUGUGUGAGCAAGGGAAGCCACAGAGUGUGGACAGCAUGCGCCCGCUUCUGUAAAACAAAGUACAGAGAUCCUGACUGGGUACCCAGGGUGCCACAGGUCUGUGACUCCAGGUGGAUGGCUGGACCUGGAUUUGGGUACAAUUGUAACCCUAAGGUGGGUAACGGGGACUCAAUUGUUGGUAUGGUGUUGAGACCUUCCCUGGAACACUUGUGCAUUUCUCGCAAGAAUAUAAAAUGAUGUAGCUGCCUUUUGAAAAUGUUUGGCAUCUAAUCAACUAAACAGAGUCACUACUGUAUGACCCAGGAACUCCACUCCUGGGUAUUUAUCUAAAGGAAUAAAAACCUUGACUCCCCACAAAAAUCUCUACAUGAGUGUUUAUAAGAGAAUUAUAAUAGUAGCUCCAAAUCGACUUUGAAUAAAUAACGAAUAAAUAAAGAAAAUGUGGUCUACUUUUACAAUGGACUGUCACUUCAAAACAGGAAUGAAGUAUGGAUUCCCGAACUGCCGUCAGAGAGACCUUGGAUAGAGUGUACUCUGUGAAAGAAGCGGACACAGAGGUCACGCACUGUCUAAUCUCCCGUAUGUGAAAGGUCCAGAAUAGGCCACUCUGCAGAUACAGGAAGCAGGAAGCUGUGCCAGGCCUGGGGGGAAGGUGUGAGAAGGAAGUGGAGUGAGUGUGAAUUGGCUGCUGCUGCUUUGGAAGUGACCGAGAUCUUCUGGAACAGUGAUGACAUCUAAGCCCUGGAAUGAAUCAAAGCCUACCAGGGUGAAUUUUAUGGCCUGAGAAUUUCAUCUCAAUAAAACAUUUUUGUU